AUGGAGAUGGUGGAGAAGCUUUCUCUCACCACAAGACCACAUCCACAUCCUUACUACAUCCAAUGGUUCAACAACAGCGGCAAGGUUAAGGUAACACGUACUGUUCGUGUGCAUUUUAGUAUCUCUACAUAUGCUGAUUAUGUUGAUUGUGAUGUGGUACCUAUGCAAGCAUGUUCCUUAUUACUUGGUAGAACAUGGCAAUUUGAUAAAAAUUCUGUACACCAUGGUAGAAACAAUCACUAUACUCUUGUUCAUAAGGAUAAAAAUAUUACUUUGCUUCCUAUGACUCCUGAUUCCAUUUUGAAAGAUGAUAUUAAUAGAGCUAAUAAAGCAAAACAGGAGAAGAAUAAGAGUGAAAAUCAGAUUGUGGCAAAAGAAUUUGAGCAACAAAUGAAGCCUAAUAAUAAACCAUCUAGUGUUGCUUCUGAAAUUAAAUUGAAAAAUGCAUGUUUAUUUGCCACCAAAUCUGAUAUUGAUGAGCUAGAUUUCAGCAAAUCUGUUUGCUAUGCUUUUGUGUGCAAAGAGGCAUUAUUUUCAUUCGAGGACGUGCCUUCCUCUUUGCCUCCUGCUGUCACUAACAUUUCGCAGGAGUUCGCUGACGUUUUUCCACAAGACGUGCCACCGGGAUUACCGCCUAUUCGAGGGAUUGAGCAUCAGAUUGACUUAAUUCCCGGUGCUUCACUGCCAAACCGUGCACCAUACCGUACCAAUCCAGAGGAGACGAAGGAGAUUAUGCGUCAAGUACAAGAGCUUCUCGACAAAGGUUAUAUACGCGAAUCCCUUAGUCCUUGUGCUGUUCCUAUUAUUCUAGUGCCGAAAAAGGAUGGUACAUCACGUAUGUGUGUUGAUUGUAGAGGCAUUAAUAAUAUUACUAUUCGUUAUCGUCAUCCUAUUCCUAGGCUAGAUGAUAUGCUUGAUGAAUUGAGUGGCUCUACAAUAUUCUCCAAAGUUGAUUUGCGUAGUGGGUACCAUCAAAUUCGUAUGAAAUUGGGAGAUGAAUGGAAAACAGCAUUUAAAACUAAGUUUGGAUUAUAUGAGUGGUUAGUCAUGCCUUUUGGGUUAACUAAUGCACCUAGUACUUUCAUGAGAUUAAUGAACGAAGUUUUACGUGCUUUCAUUGGACGAUUUGUGGUAGUUUACUUUGAUGACAUAUUGAUUUAUAGCAGAUCUUUGGAAGAACAUUUGGAACAUUUACGUGCUAUUUUUAUUGCUCUACGUGAUGCACGUUUGUUUGGUAACCUUGGGAAGUGCACCUUUUGCACCGACCGAGUAUCUUUUCUUGGCUAUGUUGUUACUCCACAGGGAAUUGAAGUUGAUAAAGCCAAGAUUGAAGCUAUUGAGAGUUGGCCGCAGCCCAAAACGGUCACACAAGUGAGGAGUUUUCUUGGCCUCGCUGGAUUCUAUAGGCGUUUUGUGAGAGAUUUCAGCACCAUUGCUGCACCUCUCAAUGAGCUUACAAAGAAAGAUGUGCCUUUUCUUUGGGGUACCGCACAGGAAGAAGCCUUCUCGGUAUUGAAAGAUAAGUUGACACAUGCUCCUUUACUCCAACUUCCUGAUUUUAAUAAGACUUCUGAGCUUGAAUGUGAUGCUAGUGGAAUUGGAUUAGGCGGUGUGUUAUUACAAGAUGGCAAACCUGUUGCAUACUUUUCUGAAAAAUUGAGUGGGCCUAGUCUGAAUUAUUCUACUUAUGAUAAAGAAUUAUAUGCUCUUGUUCGGACUUUAGAAACAUGGCAACAUUAUUUAUGGCCCAAAGAAUUUGUUAUACAUUCUGAUCAUGAAUCUUUGAAACAUAUUAAAAGUCAAGCUAAACUGAAUCGUAGACAUGCUAAAUGGGUUGAAUUCAUUGAGACUUUUCCUUAUGUCAUUAAACACAAGAAGGGAAAAGAAAAUGUUAUUGCUGAUGCAUUGUCUCGCCGCUAUACUAUGCUUUCACAACUUGACUUCAAAAUAUUUGGUUUUGGAGACCAUCAAAGAUCAAUAUGUGCAUGA
This 1989-nucleotide ribosomal RNA is filed under the name Triticum aestivum (bread wheat). Its description in RNAcentral is "partial small subunit ribosomal RNA". The record is from RNAcentral. Lineage: Eukaryota; Viridiplantae; Streptophyta; Magnoliopsida; Poales; Poaceae.